UGCUCCCACACAGAAUUGAACUGUGCUUUCCGCUUUAUAAGGGCAGUGUCCUAACCGAUAGACGAUGGGAGC
Molecule: transfer RNA, 72 nt
Filed under: Terrestrivirus sp.
Lineage: Varidnaviria; Bamfordvirae; Nucleocytoviricota; Megaviricetes; Imitervirales; Mimiviridae
Description: tRNA-Ile
Source: RNAcentral